GUUACACGAAGUAACCUUACCAGGGUUUGACAUGCAAGUGGUAGGAAAGCCGAAAGGUUGACCGACCCUUCGGGGAGCUUGCACAGGUGCUGCAUGGCUGUCGUCAGCUCGUGUCGUGAGAUGUUCGGUUAAGUCCGCUAACGAGCGCAACCCUCGUCGUGUGUUAUACGUGUCACACGAUACUGCCGGUAUCAAGCCGGAGGAAGGUGGGGAUGAUGUCAAGUCAGCAUGGCCUUUAUAUCCUGGGCUACACACACGCUACAAUGGCAGAUACAAUAGGUUGCGAAACCGCGAGGUGGAGCCAAUCCUCAAAGUCUGUCUCAGUUCAGAUUGUAGGCUGCAACUCGCCUGCAUGAAGUUGGAGUUGCUAGUAAACGCAGGUCAGCCAUACUGCGUUGAAUACGUUCCCGGGGCUU
This 416-nucleotide ribosomal RNA is filed under the name uncultured Leptolinea sp. RNAcentral describes it as "bacterial SSU rRNA". It matches the Rfam family "Bacterial small subunit ribosomal RNA", at positions 956 to 1382 of the family's 1533-position model. The record is from RNAcentral. Lineage: Bacteria; Bacillati; Chloroflexota; Anaerolineae; Anaerolineales; Anaerolineaceae.